RNAcentral lists this ribosomal RNA (324 nucleotides) under uncultured eukaryote. Its description in RNAcentral is "partial 18S ribosomal RNA". It matches the Rfam family "Eukaryotic small subunit ribosomal RNA", at positions 1470 to 1796 of the family's 1831-position model. The record is from RNAcentral.
CCCUUAGAUGUUCUGGGCCGCACGCGCGCUACACUGAUGCAUUCAACGAGCACCCGCUGGGCCGAGAGGUCCGGCUAAUCUUUGAACGUGCAUCGUGCUGGGGAUAGAUGAUUGCAAUUAUUCAUCUUCAACGAGGAAUUCCUAGUAAACGCAAGUCAUCAGCUUGCAUUGAUUACGUCCCUGCCCUUUGUACACACCGCCCGUCGCACCUACCGAUUGAAUGGUCCGGUGAAAUUCUCGGACGCGGACUUGCGAUGUUAAUUCGGAGCUUGACUGUGAAAGUUAAUUAAACCUUACCAUUUAGAGGAAGGUGAAGUCGUAGCA